This 398-nucleotide ribosomal RNA is filed under the name uncultured bacterium. RNAcentral's name for it is "bacterial SSU rRNA". It matches the Rfam family "Bacterial small subunit ribosomal RNA", at positions 358 to 773 of the family's 1533-position model. The record is from RNAcentral.
GGAAUAUUGGACAAUGGGCGAAAGCCUGAUCCAGCAAUGCCGCGUGAGUGAUGAAGGCCUUAGGGUUGUAAAGCUCUUUUACCAGGGAUGAUAAUGACAGUACCUGGAGAAUAAGCUCCGGCUAACUCCGUGCUAGCAGCCGCGGUAAUACGGAGGGAGCUAGCGUUGUUCGGAAAUACUGGGCGUAAAGCGAACGUAGGCGGUCUAGUAAGUCAGGGGUGAAAUCCCGGAGCUCAACUCCGGAACUGCCCUUGAAACUACUAAACUAGAAUCCUGGAGAGGUGAGUGGAAUUCCGAGUGUAGAGGUGAAAUUCGUAGAUAUUCGGAAGAACACCAGUGGCGAAGGCGACUCACUGGACAGGUAUUGACGCUGAGGUUCGAAAGCGUGGGGAGCAAAC